UACGUAGGGUGCAAGCGUUAAUCGGAAUUACUGGGCGUAAAGCGUGCGCAGGCGGUUUUGUAAGUCUGAUGUGAAAUCCCCGGGCUCAACCUGGGAAUUGCGAUGGAGACUGCAAGGCUAGAAUCUGGCAGAGGGGGGUAGAAUUCCACGUGUAGCAGUGAAAUGCGUAGAGAUGUGGAGGAACACCGAUGGCGAAGGCAGCCCCCUGGGUCAAGAUUGACGCUCAUGCACGAAAGCGUGGGGAGCAAACAGG
This 253-nucleotide ribosomal RNA is filed under the name uncultured bacterium. RNAcentral's name for it is "partial 16S ribosomal RNA". It matches the Rfam family "Bacterial small subunit ribosomal RNA", at positions 524 to 776 of the family's 1533-position model. The record is from RNAcentral.